GUUUUUAUUGUGUUUUGUAAGAAUGAUACCCCUCGUUAACCAGGCAUCCUCUUCUCUCAGCGCUGUCACUCUGUACGGACCUGAGGAAACGGCACCCAGUCCCUAAACCAUCAAAGGAGAAACGGCUUUUCUGCCUGCUGUUUUUAAGAACUUAAAAUGGGCGAAUUUACAGUCUCUGUACGGCAUGGUGUCUUAUCCCACCUGGAGAAGUUGGAGGCUAGUGCCCACACUGCAGCCCUCGAACAAGGGGAGAGACGCCAACAUGCGGAGAAGGUGGCCAGGAUGGAAGCCAGGAUCCAGGAACUCAAACGUCAGAGAGAUCAGCUGAGGGCCAAGCUGAACGCUUGUCGUUCUCGGUUCAAUAGGCACAAAGACUCUGCAGAAAGUAAUUCUCAGGCAGCGGCACCUACAGAGCUGAGCCAACAAGCCCUCUUGGAGUGGAAAAUGGGGAACGUCAAGGGUUUGCUGCAGUUGUUUCGGCUGACAGGCUUCAGUGGGAGACUGACCCAGCACAGAGCCUGCCUGUGCAUCACCACUGCCUUCCAGGGCACCUACCUGGACUCCUACCACCUGGACCUCCUUAUGCAGGAACCAGUCCAGAUCCAGCACCACUCGGUCCCGGCCUUCAUCCCCUUGGAGCAAAUCGCCGCCAAGUACCUGCAAACAGACCUCAAGCGCUUCUUGUCCGAGCUCUCCGAUCACCUGAACGCGUACGCGGGGAGGAAAUUCCAGGCAGAGCAGUUAAAGGAACAUUUUGCUGCUUUCCUGAAAGGACCCUUGCGAGGAAAUUCCUUGCACAACCUACUGGAAUUCAGCUACGGUGUGUCAGAAGCAGCACCCUUUCCUUUCACAGUGAAGCUCAUUUAUGGAGAUCCUGUGAGCACCCUUCCCACAGAAGCCACUGUCACAUGUGAAGAAGACGCGCCUGGCUCUUCCGCAGAGAUGGCAGCCCUUCAUCAGGCCUGGCUGCUCGAGAAACCUCUCCACCAGGCCUUGAGCUCCGUCACCGUGUCAGCAGGAAGCCCGAGUCCAUUGGUCCCGCUGGAGUCGCCUGCUCCCUCCACAGCCGUGCCUCCCGUGGAAGAAGGCCUCCUUCCAAGGCGUCCGCAGUGUAGAUUCUCUCCAAAAGCACAAAAGGCAGCCCUGAGCACUAUGGAUUUUUCUCACUCAGAAAGCGACGAGUGAGUGUCUAGGGAAGCUGAAGUUUGAUAUUACCCUGAUGGGGAAAGAUUGCACUUUCAAAGUUUCAGCGUAAAUUUGAAGAAUGAUGGAGCACACACCACUGAAAUCUGUUGGAUUAACCACCUCCUCUUGAGUCAAGACAAGGUGGAAUAGCAGCCUCUUUGCUUUUCCAUCUGCAGUCAGUCAUUUCAGCAGGAGGUUCCCGCGGCAGCCGUGUGGAAGAAUCCUUCCUGCUACCCUGACCAUGAAGGCAGGCUUAUGGUUCGUCAUUUGCCGUACAGGCUCACCCCUUGCUGCUGAGACUUCCCCAGUGUUCUAAUGGUCCAAAUUUGAAAGCAGAAGAAAGGGGAAGUUUCUUGGUGUUCCCCAGAGAAUUGGCCUUGGGCUGAGGUGGCUGAAAUCCCAUUUCAGAAGCAGCUGAGAGUUUUGCAAAAGUGACUGAAAUGUUGUAAACAACCUUUGGCCGUGUGUAGUGCAGCUGCUCUUAUCUGGAUGAAUGCGCCAGACCCCAAUCGGAAAAAGACUGCAAGACUGCUCUGGUGAGAGGCGGAUCCAGGAAAGGCAAAUAAAAUCAAGAUUGCACAAGCAAACAGUGGCCUGUCGUCCCCCCCCCGCCCGCCCCCGGGCCACCAGCAGGUGCAUCUCCCCAGAGAACUCUGGCGAUGCGGAGGUACAGAAAUAAAGAGUAUUACUGGCAGAAUGAGAGUUCAUUUCAGUACUUGAUUAUUCUCUUGAGUUUGAUAGUAUAGGCAGCUACUUCAGCAGUAGGUUUACCCAAUAAAUCCAUUUUUUUCAGGGGCUUUCUCUGUCAUUGCAUGAUUAGCUUGGUACUGGCUAGGUAUAUCUGGGCAAGUAUUACCAUGCCUUCCAGUUAAGCAAUGCUGCUUUUCCAACACUGCUCUUUUUAAGCCCUUAUUUAAUCCUAGGAGUUAAUUGCCUUGCAGUCUCAUUUAUCAGUGCCAAUAAAAUUGCUAUAAAUAAGUUCACCAAAUAACAUUAGCAUUACUGCUAACAAUUGUUUUAAACUGCUGCUUAUUAAGUAGCAUGCUGCUAAAUUGCUGCUGCUGGAAUUUUAAUCAGGCCAUGUUUUAAUGUUUGUUGGGCCAUCAGUGGCGAUGUGCUUCACCCACCUCUGCCCACCGAUUUGCAUCUGUACAGCAUGGCCGCUUUCCGCCGCUUACUCCUCUUUAAGCACAGAACGGCUCAAAAUAAACCAUUUGUGGUUUGCUUAGUAAUGAGAAAGGUGGCCCUGGUGGUGGAUUUGGAGACCUGGCUGGACGCCGCAGCUGGACUUGGCCAAAUUUUUUCCAAAUGGGACACCUCUGCAGAAGCACAUCAAGAAUCCAGAAGGGUUUAUUGCCUCUUACCACGUGGCAGGCCAAGCUGGAAUGGGUCUUGGCCAAACCGAAGGCACACCAGCUGUCAGCCUACGUUUUGCAGCCGCGUAUUGACUGGGAGUGGUUUUGUGGCAAAGGGGAGCUCCAUUUGGACUGGGAACAAACGGCUCACAAAUGGCCCGAGCCCGCCUGAGUUUGCGCAGCCACAGCCUCUCGCGUGGCCUGAUGCAUCCAAGGUGAUCGACCCAAGCGGCGCCGCGGUUGUUCUGCCUCCCGCUCCCAGUUCCAGUCCCAAAAGUGCAGCAGGCCACGUACGUGUGCGAAGGACAGGACCCCCUCCCAGGACCACCCCCUUCCUGCUCCCCUGGCUAAAUCAAGAGGCGAACGCAGACACUGAUAGCAAAGGGGGCCUCCUUCCGAACGACAAGCCUCCAAGAAGAAAGGAUGGGUUGGCGCCUCUACAUCUAACGGUGUGAGAGGAGUACCUAGCAAUCUCCCGUCCGGAGACAGAGCUGCCUGCCCUCGGGCAUCGAAGAGGCCCCUGCUCCUCAGCGGCGUGGCGCUUGGAAGCCUU
Molecule: RNA transcript, 3093 nt
Organism: Varanus komodoensis (Komodo dragon)
Lineage: Eukaryota; Metazoa; Chordata; Lepidosauria; Squamata; Varanidae
Gene: CENPO
Gene name: centromere protein O
Exons: 8
Source: RefSeq, a predicted model, not a curated record